RNAcentral lists this ribosomal RNA (118 nucleotides) under Pseudomonas syringae. RNAcentral's name for it is "partial 23S ribosomal RNA". The stretch from base 1 to 101 matches the Rfam family "Bacterial large subunit ribosomal RNA", at positions 2825 to 2925 of the family's 2925-position model. Lineage: Bacteria; Pseudomonadati; Pseudomonadota; Gammaproteobacteria; Pseudomonadales; Pseudomonadaceae. RNAcentral also lists the same sequence under 4 other names. The record is from RNAcentral.
CCCUGAAGGGCCGUCGAAGACUACGACGUUGAUAGGUUGGGUGUGUAAGCGCUGUGAGGCGUUGAGCUAACCAAUACUAAUUGCCCGUGAGGCUUGACCAUAUAACACCCAAGCAAUU